This is a long non-coding RNA of Cucumis melo (muskmelon), 1591 nucleotides long. RefSeq lists it as uncharacterized. Lineage: Eukaryota; Viridiplantae; Streptophyta; Magnoliopsida; Cucurbitales; Cucurbitaceae. The transcript is spliced from 3 exons. The record is from RefSeq and is a predicted model, not a curated record.
AUUUCAAUUUUUCUUUUCUUCUUCUCUUCCCUCCACCGCCAAAGUUUUCUUUAUCCAUUUCCACUACUUUUUUCACCAUUUCUGCACCAAAUUUCAGGGGAAUUUCAAAGGGAAGAAGGUUGAGAAAGGAAGAAGAAGAAGUUCAAGAAUUUUUGUUGAAGAAAGACAAGGUAAAAUUGCAAGCAAAGCUUCAUACUUGGUAGAAAUUGAUUCACACAGUACACCUCUAAUGCUCUAUUGAUUCUGAGCUACACAAAAAGAAUUAAGAGGCCAAGAGGAAAUAGGUCGGAUUUACACAUCGGAAAACUAGUCGAAGACAAUGAGUGACCAAACUAGUUUUUUUAAAAAAAUAUUUUCUUUCUCCUAAAUAUUAAUUAUGAUUGACUGAUCUACACGUUUAUUUACAAAGCAUUGAAAAUCAUUUGAAGUCCAUGAUUAUUUCAAGUAUGAGUUUCGAGACUAAAAUUCUUACAGAAUGUUUAUGCUAGCACGUGAUUAUUGAAUGUCAGGAAAUUAUUUAAACCACUGUGUUCCAAACAAAGUAUGAGUUACCAAGUUUUGUUUUAAGAACUACAACUUUUCACGAAUAAUCUAAGUAAGUUUAAGUUUUAUGAAAGAAAAGGAUAGCAGGCAUGUUUUAUUGUUUUCAUACGAUUUUUCUGAUGUUUCUAUUAACUACAUGACUGAGGUGUUGAGCACGAGGCUAUAUGGUACUGUGUGCACGCAUGUUAGAUUCCGUUGUUGAUGUUAAGUGUACUCCGUAACAACGACGUUGUCGUGAGUGCUGAGCGGGUCUCACUACGACAAAGAUGAUGGGAGUGCUGGACGGGCCCCACUACAUCGUAGAGCUUGUAAACGUUGUUGUACUGGGUGACCCUACACAACGUAGAUUUGUCAUGUUAGUUAAAAUAUUUUGAUAUACUUGAUAGGCCUUGCUAGAUUUUAAUGGCGUAUGUACUGAGUAUUUAAGGAAGCUAUUCUUACUAUUAUACGUCUAUGUUUACGACUUGUAUAAACAGAUUUAUAAGUGUAGAGAUCGAGUUCCCGGUGCCUGAUAGACUGCCUUAGUCUACUGAAGCUCCGUUAUCGAUUGCCAGUACGUGUUUCGAGUUGGGCAUAAAAUCUGUUGUGUUAUGAUGUAUAUACACCCUUGUAUGUUAUAGAUACUCCACAGUUUGUAUAAGCUUUAGGAGUUGCAGUUGUGUAAACUUUUGUUGGUUAUGUUUUGGUUAAGGUGUCUCUAGGUAUACUUGUGAAAUUAGUUAUUUUCGAGAUACAUUUCUUGCAUGUAUAUGAUUAGUCUAGGAUUUGCUGCGUUGUGUGUAUGUAUAAUAGUUUAUAUACUAGAUUGGCAAGUUCAUCACAUCAAAUUUUUAAGUAGAGUCGAUAGAUACAGGUAAAGAAAAGCGUUGUCCGUCGACUUCAUGCCAUCUUUCGGUCUAAGCUAGCAGGUAGUCCGGGAGGAGGUGUGACACAUAUAGUUCUCUACGGGUUCUUUCGAGUGCCUCUUCUCCCAUUGGAUUGUUCAAAUUUUUCUCUAAGGAAGGCUCUAAAGGUUAUUGAAAUGAUGGUUCAAAUGUGUAAACGUGAG